GAUGAACGCUGGCGGCGUGCCUAAUACAUGCAAGUCGAGCGGACAGACGAGGCGCUUGCUCCUCUCACGUUUGCGGAGGACGGGAGAAUCACACGUGGAUCCCCUACCUAUAUGACUGGUAUAUCUUCGGGACACCGGCGCUUACACCGGAUGAUCUCUUGCACCGCGUGGGUCGAUGGUGAGAUACGGUGUUUCUGGCACGUCUAGCUGCAUCCGGGCCGCAUGAGGUAGUUGUUGAGGUAACAGCUUAUGAAGGGUACGAUGCGUGGCCGACCUGAGAGAGGGAUCGGCCACACUGGAGCUGAGACACGGUCCAGAGGCCUACGGGACGCAGCAGUAGGGAACCGGCCGCAACGGGCGGAAGCCUGACGGAGCAACGCCGCGUGAGUGACGAAGGUCUUCGGAUCGUAAAACUCUGUUAUGAGGGAAGAACCAAUGUGGAAGGAAACAUGCACGUAUUGACGGUACCUGAUCAGAAAGCAACGGCUAACUACGUG
Molecule: ribosomal RNA, 497 nt
Filed under: uncultured bacterium
Lineage: Bacteria
Description: partial 16S ribosomal RNA
Rfam family: Bacterial small subunit ribosomal RNA
Source: RNAcentral